CAGUAGCCGCGGUAAUACGAAGGGGGCUAGCGUUGCUCGGAAUCACUGGGCGUAAAGGGUGCGUAGGCGGGUUUCUAAGUCAGGGGUGAAAUCCUGGAGCUCAUCUCCAGAACUGCCCUUGAUACUGGAAGUCUUGAAUAUGGGAGAGGUGAGUGGAACUGCGAGUGUAGAGGUGAAAUUCGUAGAUAUUCGCAAGAACACCAGUGGCGAAGGCGGCUCACUGGCCCAUAACUGACGCUGAGGCACGAAAGCGUGGGGAGCAAACAGGAUUAGAUACCCGCGUAGUCCCUGUCUCUUAUAC
This 301-nucleotide ribosomal RNA is filed under the name uncultured bacterium. Its description in RNAcentral is "partial 16S ribosomal RNA". It matches the Rfam family "Bacterial small subunit ribosomal RNA", at positions 509 to 807 of the family's 1533-position model. The record is from RNAcentral.